AUGAGCUUUAAUUCUCUAUCCAAGCAUAAUCUGAGCAAUAAUAAUAAGCACAUCAGGACAAUUUGUUUACUGUGGCUUUGCACAGACUGCAGAGCUAUGAGAAAGUACAGCACAGCCCCAGCAACUCUCAGCAUCCCUGUACCAGGCUCACUCACACUCACACUGAUUGGAAUGGAGAAGAAAUAUGUCUAUGGAGAUACUGUAACUCACCCCUCAAAACGGUAAGUGAUCAUCACUCUGUGACAUUGUAACUGGUGAACAUUUGACCUGCGGUAAAGCAAUAUAAUUGACACAGUGAUCCAGUAACUGAAAGAGAUGUUUAGAGAGCAAAAAAAUUCACACAUAGUUUGCCAUAUAGUUUAUGCUUUAUGGUGUUUGUAAUAUUAAUAAUAAUAAUAAUAAUAAUAAUAAUAAUUAAUAAUAUCUAUUACAAUAUAUAUAUAUAUUUACAUACCAUCAUAUAUUACACACAAAUGAGAAAGGUGUGUGUGUGUGUAUAUAUAUAUAUAUAUUUUUUUUACAUUUAUUUAUUUAAUAAAAUAUAUACUGUAUAUUAUAUAUUAUACAUUAUUUUUAUUAAUAAAAAGAAUAUUACAUAAAUAUACAGUAGUUUGAAAGAAUGUCAUAUAUCAUUUUUAUUUAAAAUAUAUAGAAAAGUCAUAUAGUAUUUAUUUUAUCGGAGAGAUAUGCUUCCUAUAUCUUUAUUUACUGAACACUGACUUAGUUACCGACUUGUGUAAAUCAGCACAAUUUAAUCUAACUCUCUCCGGUAAAAUAAAAAUAAAAAUUAUAAUAUUAAUAAUAAUAAUAAUAAUAAUAAUAAUAAUAAUAAUAAUAUCUAUAUAUAUUCCAAUUCUGUUCCUCAUUUGGCCACUCUUCUCCAAACUCACCGUUUAGUAAAUAACCUCCCUCGCUUGUAAAUCCGAUACUUUUAUCCUGUGAAAUAUCAGCAUUUCUAAUAUAUGAAUCUCCUUUCUAUUAACCCCAUGAGUGCUGGUGGAUUAUGCCCUAUGCAUUCCUCAGCAAUAAAGUAUCCCUUACACUGUCUGGGACAGGUCCAAUAACCCCCCCUCCAAAAAUAAAAUUAAAAAAUAAGGAGAAAUAUUUGAUAUCAAGCUGUACCGUGAUUUUCUCACUUCUCUGGGGGUGAGUGGGUUAAGCCACAGGGCACAGCAAGUGUGGAAACAACAUUAGUAUCAGAUUAUGAAAUAUAUUCUGACACAUUGUGUCUUUAUGCUAUUUUUUUUUAUUUGCAAACAAGAUACAUGUAUUCCUAAUUUGCUUCCAAGUUUAUUCAAUUUGUCCUGCAUUCUCACUCCCAUUAAAGUAUUUUAAUAAUAAGCGUGGUUCUGUCCAAAUGUUUGAUUUUUCUUUUUUUCCCUCCCUCAUUCUGGCUAUAGACUGAAACAUUAGCUGCAUUCCCUGGGGCUGAUUGGAUGCAAUUCGCACAAAGUCGACAGCUACGUCCUGGAUGUUAAAAAUUCACUUUGGCUGAACCUGACAAGGCUGAGUUCGAUCUACAAUUGUAUUUGAAAGCGCAGCCAGCGUAAAAAUCUCCCAUCAUUAGGCUCCCCUCUCCUUCAGCAAAAUAACUAGAUUUUGCUCACACACACACACAAAAAAAAAAAAUACAUAAAAAAACAAUAAUAUUUAUAUUUUUCUGUAACAGAAAAAAACAACAACAAACUUAAACAAAACACUAAAUAAAUAUUCAAUUAAAAAAAUCUACAUUCUAUUCUAUCCAUGUGAUGAAAGCUGACUCUUAACCCUUUGGAUGACAGAGGUGCCCAAUUCAGUGCUUUCCAAAGAGCCAGGAGCACCUCUGGCCCUCAAAGGGUUAAAGAAAAUCUUGAAUAAAGAUGCCAAUUCUAAAAGGGGGGUGUGGGGGAGCGAUUUGCACUUAUGCCUUGACCCCUGUAAUUGGAUUAAAUAUAGACUAGAACUUCCAAAAAAAACACCAAGAUUGACACCUGCCAAGUGGCCUUCCUUGUGAUUGAUUGUGAUGAUUCGUGCUGGCUACAAUAAUGUAAUAAAUUGUAUGGAUAAAACCGAAGCAUUUGUUAUUUCCGUGCCAUCAAACAGGAAGUCAGAGAGUGACUGCAGCUGUUACAUGACAGCCAGAAAGAACUCAGCAGAGACAAACAGGGACUGCAGACAUUGACAAGCAAAAUUAUAACUUGCCACCUUCCUUUUACAUACACAAGUUUUCAAUUAACAUAUAUAUUGCUGUUACAUAUAAGAUUAGGGUGACCUAAUGUGGGCAUCUGUGAUAUCCUGCUGUAUGGAGGCUCUGGAAUCCAGGGACCCACAUUCAGGGGUGGCCACAAUGUACCCCCCACCCCUCAAUACUCCUGAUGGAAUUGGGAGCCUAAACCAACAAUGUAAAUCUUAACUACAACUCCCAUGAUGCUUUGCCAAAUGAGUUGUAGUAAUGCUGACGUUUCUGGUGAUGAUGGUAGUUGGGGCUACCUUUGCUGGCCACCCCUAGCCCCACAUAAGUACUAGUAGCAGUGGAUAUGGUCCUGAUACAUGGAGUUCCAGUUUGGGUUCCAGAGGGAUAUCAGUGAUGUUUGGUGUUUUUCUGUUUGGUGUUGGGUGUUGAAAGUUAUCUUGCAUUUUGUUUUAGGGCCUUAUUUGUUUACAAGCAGAGACUGUAGUUUAUUUCUUAUUAAAUGUCUUAAUGGGCUAAUGAUCCAUGGUAUUAUUUUUCUGAAUGGCUGCUCUGUACGUGUCUUGUUCUGAUCUCUACUGAGUUUAUUCUUCAACCCUCUUAUCCACAGAUUGUAUCUCACCUCUGACUUGCUCUAUCUAUCUAUCUAUCUCUAUAUCUAUCUAUCUAUCUAAUAUCUAUCUAUCUAUCUAUCUAUCUAUCUAUUGUCUAUCUCUCUCUCUCUCUAUCUAUCCACUAUCUAUCUAUCUAUCUAUCUAUCUAUCUCUCUAUC
This is a non-coding RNA of Pelobates cultripes (western spadefoot toad), 2942 nucleotides long. The record is from the annotation of a GenBank genome assembly. NCBI's taxonomy places the organism in Eukaryota, Metazoa, Chordata, Amphibia, Anura, Pelobatidae.